Molecule: non-coding RNA, 4643 nt
Organism: Vicugna pacos (alpaca)
Lineage: Eukaryota; Metazoa; Chordata; Mammalia; Artiodactyla; Camelidae
Source: RefSeq, a predicted model, not a curated record
CCCCUUCCGCGGAACAUUCCUGGGCGGGCGCAAGGCGAGCGUGGUCCAGCCCUGAUAGGCGGGGCCGCGUUGAGUGACGGCCCGGCCCCACCUUCCGGUUAAGGAGUUGGAGAAGGCUGUUCGACAGGGAAGUGCCUCAGGCCGGCAUUGUUUCGCAGCUAGAAUGAAGCACAUCAACUUGUCCUUUGCAGCCUGUGGGUUUCUGGGCAUUUACCACUUGGGGGCAGCAUCUGCACUUCGCAGACACGGAAAAAAGCUUCUGAAGGAUGUCAAGGCCUUUGCGGGGGCUUCUGCAGGAUCCUUGGUUGCUUCCGUCCUGCUAACAGCGCCAGAAAAAAUAGAGGAAUGUAACGAGUUUACUUACAAGUUUGCUGAAGAAACCCGAAGGCAGUUGCUUGGGGCAGUAACGCCUGGCUAUGAUUUCAUGGCCCGAUUGAGGAGAGGGGUGGAGUCGAUUCUCCCUGCCAACGCGCACGAGCUGGCCCACAACCGCCUGCACAUCUCCAUCACCAACACCAAGACCAGAGAAAAUGACUUAGUCUCCAGCUUCUCCUCCAGGGAGGACCUCAUUAAGGUGCUUUUAGCGAGCAGCUUCGUGCCGGUGUACGCAGGGCUGAAACCAGUGGAGUACAGAGGGCAGAAGUGGGUGGACGGCGGCUUCACCAACAGCCUGCCCAUCCUGCCUGUGGGCCGGACGGUGACCAUCUCCCCAUUCAGCGGACGGCUGGACAUCUCCCCGCAGGACGAGGCGCAGCUGGGUCUCUACGUUAACGUCACCAAUCAGGACAUCCUGACAGCAGUGGCCGGACAGACAGACACGUACAAGAAUCACAACCCCUCUCUCCUCACACUACACUGGGGCUGGUCACUUGUCCGCUAACCUCCUUUGCAUCCACUCCUUCGCUUCAUACUCAUGAACCACCUCUGCUAACUGUCUGCCACCGUGCUACGCCGACCCCGGGAACACAGAGACGAUUAAGGAUACUUCUCCACCUUUGAGGUUCGCAGCUGUAAGAGGAAAUCAUAAGCAUACAUCUGUUCCCAAAAAUAUUCAGACACAUCUUUGUCAUCUUGAACCACUGGAUAGACUCUCUCCAGACAUGUGAGAGGCUGCAGAUGCAGAGGUAGCUGGGUGACUCACUCCUGACAAUGGCAUAUGCGACUGCAGGACAGGUUCCUUUCCUCCCUUAUUCAAAUUGGUAUUCUCUGCCGGAGCCAGAGGAUUAAUGAUAUUCACCCCCAAACUGCCCCCCUCUCUGAAUGCAGAACAUAAGAAGGACAUUCUCAUCCUCAUCUUCUGAAAAAGUUUCUGGUUCUGUCAGCAGCACAGCAAUACUUCCUCGUCCUUUUUUGACACAUUGAAAAAAACUCAAAAUGGAAAUGAUUCAUACCUCACACUCCAUGUCAUCGGCGUGGCCGCUGGAGCUCACACGGCAUUAACUUCAGGAACAGCAAUGGAAAUGUCCUUAUGCUAAGCACAUGCGACUCUCCGUCAGAGGCCAAGUUCUCUAAAUGACAGCCAACUGCCUUCUGGGAAGAGCCGAUCUUAAAAACAAACAAACAAACAAAAAAAAGCAAAAUUGCUACAAAUCUCUGCCCCAGACUAGGCAAGAGGAAAUCAUUUUACAAUAGUUGAAUGCGCAGAAUGAAACACACUGAAAGGUGGGGAUGGGAAUGGCAAAUUAGAAAUUAAAAACUAGCACCUGAGCCACUCCAGGAAGUGAGAUAACAGACUACCACCUAAUAGCUGAGAAUAUCUGAGCUCAUCUUUACAAAAUGCCAAGAAAGGGGAGCCAGCGUUACAGAGUGGUCCGUUCACAGAUGGCAAGGCAUCUUGUCAUAUAUAAAGUGGCUGUGUUCACACAAAGAAUAAAAAGAAGGGGGAAAAAACACCCUAUUUUGAUAUGUCCAUUAAAUUAUUGGGCAUGAACUUUCAAUUUCAUUCACCUUUAAAAAAAAUUAAACAGGAGCAAUUUUAGCCCAGCAUGAUCAGAAACGUUCCCAAGAGAAGCUUUCCCUUUGACUAGCUCCCAGCUUUACGCUGUUCAAGGCCAGUGUUUUAGAUCUAAGGCCCUUUAAUGAGUGACCGCUCAUGGCAGGGAGGGGGGACCAGUGAUGGAGACGCCAGGGGGAACCAUUAGCCCUGAUGCUGGCAACUGUUUAGGACUGGGUUUGUAGUCCUUCAGUUACCUUUCUUUUAUUUUAUACUUCUUUCGGAAGAGCACUUCCCUAAAUAAUCUACUCACAGCCUGUAUCCCAGCCAAGAGCAAGUGGUCAUCUCUGUCUCACAAACGGGCUGUGAGUCGAUGGCUUCCUGCCAUGUCUCCUUAAUUUACCCUUUUGUCUGCCUGACUCUCUCCCAACCCUGCCAAGUCCUUCUGUUUCUCUCCGUGCGCCUCCCACACCCACUCCAGUCCAUCGUCCAGACUGAUCCCCUAAGAUUAUAAAGGGGGUUGUUUUUAUGCGACCGUCCCUCAACCUCCCAUGGGCCCCCGUCCUGAUUUGAAUAAAACCCAACUCCUCCCCCAGGCGAUCAGCCACCUGAACUGGCGCCGCUACCUCUCUGAGCGCAUCUCCCACAACCUUCCUCUCCCUGCCUCACACCCUGAGCCCUCUGGACCUUUCUGGAACCUCCCGAAGUCUGUCUGUGCACCGUGGCAGUUCCUGGUCCUCAUGCUAGAGAGACACAAUCCCCACAUUUCUUUUCCAAGGUUGGUUCCUCCUAACCAUUCUAUCCUUCAGUCCACAUGUCGCAUCCACCACUCCCUUCCUGCGCCAGCUCCCACCAGGUCCUCAUUCUCUUCCAUUUUCUACAGAGCAGCUGAUAAAAACGUCACCCUCUCUCCAUCACUCUCCUUCAUCUUCUUCGUUGUGCCUGAUUUCAGCCCGUAGUAUCUCAUCUGCUCCUGCAUCUGUGUACCAUCGGUCCCCCAUCCCUGCAAAUGUCAGCUCCAUGUGACAAGGAGCCUUGUGGGUCUCACUCGCUCUUCCUUUCCAGCACCUAAAACCACUUACCCACCCACAGGCAUAUACAGAGGAUGCACCUCUCAAAUAUUUAUUGAGCCCAUGGAUGACUCCGUUCCUUGGCGCCUCCCAGAAGCGAGCAGGCGGCAGCCAGGCAGGAGAGCCAUCGGUGCGGUCCCCGCCCUGGAGUUCCUGCUUUUACCCUCCUGACACGGAGGUCUCUGUGAGCUCAGAGGCUGCUGUGAGGUGGCCGCUGUGGCCGGCCGCCCACUCCCCGGGCCCCUCCUGUUGGCCCCUGCUAAUCUGCUGUUAGCCAUCCCAAGUGAACACCAGCAUUUACUCAUGCCGCACGCUGAACCUGGGAGUGAUCACUUAUGCGGGUGUGCGCUACCCAUGUCCCUGGGGAGGGGUCAGCACCCCCAUGGGGAUGACAUGCCAGGAGGAGGAGUGGUUCCCACGGCUCGAUGGCCUCCAAGUGGACGUGCCAAAGACUGCAUUGCCGGCAUGUGGCUCGGAAGGACCAGUCCUGGCACGGCCGAGCGGACCUCCUCCUCGCUUCUCCUUCCUGUUGCCAGGAGGACGGCGUCCCUGACUGGUAGGAUGUAUCCUUCCGGGUACGCGGCAGAGAGUGUGCUGAGUGAAUGUGUGUGCGUGCAUGUGUGUGCGUGUGCUGCUGACGCAGGAGGCCCUGAGAACACGAGGGCAGGGACAGGCAGCUUAACUGGACCUUCCUGCCUGCUCACCAAUACAGGUAUCUCCCUGCUUCCCGUGGGAACCAACGAAAAGGCUUUGUUACAGACUGCAGAUGCCUCACAAAUGAGCAUUCCAUCUCCCAGGAAAAACGUGUCGCCGUCCCUGGUAACAAUACCAUCUCCACAUCAGGAAUCACGGUGGAGGCCUGCUCUGUGUGGGAAGUGCGUUUCCGGGAACACGGCGCAUGUUAAUUUACAGAAUUCUCGGAGCACGCCGCAUCUUAGGUAUUUUUGUUAUUAGCAGGGCUCUGAAGGUGGGGCAGUUGAGCAGAAAAGCAAAUUCCCAGUCUUGCGCAUUUCCUUCCCAGACAGGUACAUCAGGGUACCCCGCAGGACUGACUUCACAGGAGACGUCUGGGGGAUACCUGCUGUGUUUCCACACUUACAGAAAGGAGGGAAGGAUGCUGGAUACAGAGUGAACAGGCAUGGAGACAACUCUGCCCUUUAUUAGCCUCCCUGACCCUUGACGUUCUCAUGGCAGAGUGAGAUGAGUGCCUGCCUCUCAGAACCCUGGGGAUUUGAGUCAGUGUGAGGUCGUGAGAAGACAUGUCCAACUGUGUGCUCUCUGUUCACACGAGGUAUUGAAAGUGCUUCAUCGGGGGGAGGGUGUUGCUCAGGUGGCAGAGCGCAUGCUUAGCAUGCAUGACGUCUUACCUUCAAUCCCCAGUACCUCCUUCAAAACUAAAUAAAUAAGUAAGUGAGUAAAAAAAACUAAUUACCCCUGCCUACAAAAAAAAAGUGUUUCAUCAACAGACAACCAGGCUCAAGACAUGGAAACAACCUAAAUGUCCACCGACAGAUUACUGGACAAAGAAGGUGUAGUAUAUUUAUGCAAAGUAAUAUUAUUCAGCCAUAAAAAAGAAUGAAGUAAUGCCAUUGGCAGCAACAUGCAUGGACCUAGAGAUCGCCAUUCUGAGUGAAGAUAGA